UGAGGAAUAUUGGUCAAUGGACGAGAGUCUGAACCAGCCAAGUAGCGUGCAGGAUGACGGCCCUAUGGGUUGUAAACUGCUUUUAUAAGGGAAUAAAGUGGGUCUCGUGAGACUUUUUGCAUGUACCUUAUGAAUAAGGACCGGCUAAUUCCGUGCCAGCAGCCGCGGUAAUACGGAAGGUCCGGGCGUUAUCCGGAUUUAUUGGGUUUAAAGGGAGCGUAGGCCGGAGAUUAAGCGUGUUGUGAAAUGUAGACGCUCAACGUCUGCACUGCAGCGCGAACUGGUUUCCUUGAGUACGCACAAAGUGGGCGGAAUUCGUGGUGUAGCGGUGAAAUGCUUAGAUAUCACGAAGAACUCCGAUUGCGAAGGCAGCUCACUGGAGCGCAACUGACGCUGAAGCUCGAAAGUGCGGGUAUCGAACAG
Molecule: ribosomal RNA, 423 nt
Filed under: uncultured bacterium
Lineage: Bacteria
Description: bacterial SSU rRNA
Rfam family: Bacterial small subunit ribosomal RNA
Source: RNAcentral